RNAcentral lists this ribosomal RNA (416 nucleotides) under uncultured beta proteobacterium. Its description in RNAcentral is "bacterial SSU rRNA". It matches the Rfam family "Bacterial small subunit ribosomal RNA", at positions 370 to 779 of the family's 1533-position model. Lineage: Bacteria; Pseudomonadati; Pseudomonadota; Betaproteobacteria. The record is from RNAcentral.
AAUGGGGGAAACCCUGAUCCAGCGAUGCUGCGUGCGGGAAGAAGGCCUUAGGGUUGUAAACCGCUUUCAGCUAGGAAGAAAAGGUUAUAGUUAACAUCUAUAAUUAUGACGGUACUAGCAGAAGAAGCACCGGCUAACUACGUGCCAGCAGCCGCGGUAAUACGUAGGGUGCAAGCGUUAAUCGGAAUUACUGGGCGUAAAGAGUGCGCAGGCGGCUCUUUAAGACAGGUGUGAAAUCCCCGAGCUCAACUUGGGAAUUGCGCUUGUGACUGGAGAGCUAGAGUGCGGAAGAGGGGGAUAGAAUUCCCGGUGUAGCAGUGAAAUGCGUAGAUAUCAGGAGGAAUACCGAUGGCGAAGGCAGUCCCCUGGGCCAGCACUGACGCUCAUGCACGAAAGCGUGGGGAGCAAACAGGAUU